GGCGGCGUGGCGGGCCAGUUCGGCACGAGGUACUCGGCGUUCGGCCCCCCCGAGUCCCAGUCGGAGAAGUUUGCCACCACCACGGCGACGCUGCCGCUCGCCGCAAACACGGGUUCGAAUCCCGUUGCCGCCG
Molecule: transfer RNA, 133 nt
Filed under: Candidatus Rokuibacteriota bacterium
Lineage: Bacteria; Candidatus Rokuibacteriota
Description: tRNA-OTHER
Source: RNAcentral